This 656-nucleotide ribosomal RNA is filed under the name Escherichia coli. Its description in RNAcentral is "bacterial SSU rRNA". It matches the Rfam family "Bacterial small subunit ribosomal RNA", at positions 864 to 1520 of the family's 1533-position model. Lineage: Bacteria; Pseudomonadati; Pseudomonadota; Gammaproteobacteria; Enterobacterales; Enterobacteriaceae. The record is from RNAcentral.
GUCGACCGCCUGGGGAGUACGGCCGCAAGGUUAAAACUCAAAUGAAUUGACGGGGGCCCGCACAAGCGGUGGAGCAUGUGGUUUAAUUCGAUGCAACGCGAAGAACCUUACCUGGUCUUGACAUCCACGGAAGUUUUCAGAGAUGAGAAUGUGCCUUCGGGAACCGUGAGACAGGUGCUGCAUGGCUGUCGUCAGCUCGUGUUGUGAAAUGUUGGGUUAAGUCCCGCAACGAGCGCAACCCUUAUCCUUUGUUGCCAGCGGUCCGGCCGGGAACUCAAAGGAGACUGCCAGUGAUAAACUGGAGGAAGGUGGGGAUGACGUCAAGUCAUCAUGGCCCUUACGACCAGGGCUACACACGUGCUACAAUGGCGCAUACAAAGAGAAGCGACCUCGCGAGAGCAAGCGGACCUCAUAAAGUGCGUCGUAGUCCGGAUUGGAGUCUGCAACUCGACUCCAUGAAGUCGGAAUCGCUAGUAAUCGUGGAUCAGAAUGCCACGGUGAAUACGUUCCCGGGCCUUGUACACACCGCCCGUCACACCAUGGGAGUGGGUUACAAAAGAAGUAGGUAGCUUAACCUUCGGGAGGGCGCUUACCACUUUGUGAUUCAUGACUGGGGUGAAGUCGUAACAAGGUAACCGUAGGGGAACCUGCGGUUG